CAAGUAGGCAAGGCAAUCGCUUUUCAUCGGCGCUUUGCGCUAAUGAGGAGAGGAAAGUCCGAACACCCAGUGGCUGUUUGCCAGCGACACAGGCAGCGGGUAAUACCCGUCGUCCGUGAGGAUAGAGGUGCGAACAGUGACGUCCUGAGCCGAAAGGCGAGGGGUGCCCCUUUGGGGUAAGCCCUUGAGGAAACUCAAGGGGUGAAACGGCUAAAUCCUUGCCCGGGUGCAAGAGCAAAUUGUAGCUCGCAUGAUCCUGAGAGUAAUCGAAGGACAAGAUAGAUGAUUGCCCAAAACAGAAUUCGGCUUAUUGCCUACUUGGCAU
RNAcentral lists this RNase P RNA (325 nucleotides) under Patescibacteria group bacterium. Its description in RNAcentral is "RNase P RNA component class A". It matches the Rfam family "Bacterial RNase P class A". From Rfam's summary of the family: Ribonuclease P (RNase P) is a ubiquitous endoribonuclease, found in archaea, bacteria and eukarya as well as chloroplasts and mitochondria. Its best characterised activity is the generation of mature 5'-ends of tRNAs by cleaving the 5'-leader elements of precursor-tRNAs. The record is from RNAcentral.